GUUGCUAUGGUGAAAUGGUAGACACACAGGCUUGAGGGGCCUGCGGCUUGUCCGUCCCGGUUCAAGUCCGGGUAGCAACACC
This 82-nucleotide transfer RNA is filed under the name Boodleopsis pusilla. RNAcentral's name for it is "tRNA-Leu". It matches the Rfam family "tRNA". Rfam says of the family: Transfer RNA (tRNA) molecules are approximately 80 nucleotides in length. Their secondary structure includes four short double-helical elements and three loops (D, anti-codon, and T loops). Lineage: Eukaryota; Viridiplantae; Chlorophyta; Ulvophyceae; Bryopsidales; Halimedaceae. The record is from RNAcentral.